RNAcentral lists this non-coding RNA (30 nucleotides) under Rattus norvegicus (Norway rat). Lineage: Eukaryota; Metazoa; Chordata; Mammalia; Rodentia; Muridae. The record is from RNAcentral.
UUUUACCUCAUGGUACCAGCCCACAUUAAU